RNAcentral lists this non-coding RNA (28 nucleotides) under Mus musculus (house mouse). The record is from RNAcentral. Lineage: Eukaryota; Metazoa; Chordata; Mammalia; Rodentia; Muridae.
UCCUGUUGAGUGUGUAACCUUGGGUAAA